This 288-nucleotide ribosomal RNA is filed under the name Triticum aestivum (bread wheat). Its description in RNAcentral is "partial small subunit ribosomal RNA". The record is from RNAcentral. Lineage: Eukaryota; Viridiplantae; Streptophyta; Magnoliopsida; Poales; Poaceae.
UGGUAUCUUCGUUGAGGAGUCAUUCUUAGCAAGUAUAACCUUACUAAGAGGAAUUGACAUGGAAUUACGUAAUGUGUGUUUUGUCAUCAGGAUGAAACAAUAAAACACUUGUUUUUCCAAUGCAAAUUGGCUCGUUCUAUAUGGCCAGUCAUCCAACUAGUUUCUGGCGUGUAUCUUUCAUGUAGUGUUUCUAAUAUAUUUGUCACUGGUUACAUGAGAUAUAAUACAUGUUUAGAAUUCUUCUCAGGAUGGAGCGCUUGCCACUAUAUACUCACUUUGGCUAUGUAG